Unclassified non-coding RNA from Bos mutus (wild yak), 304 nucleotides. Its record names the gene 7SK. It matches the Rfam family "7SK RNA". Rfam says of the family: 7SK was discovered as an abundant small nuclear RNA in the mid-70s but a possible function has only recently been suggested. Two independent studies have found that 7SK RNA binds the CDK9/cyclin T complex (known as elongation factor P-TEFb). P-TEFb activates transcription by phosphorylating the C-terminal domain of RNA polymerase II. NCBI's taxonomy places the organism in Eukaryota, Metazoa, Chordata, Mammalia, Artiodactyla, Bovidae. The record is from Ensembl.
GAAUCUGAGGGCAACCUGACUGUGACAUCUGUCACCUCAUUGAUCACCAGGGUUGAUCUGACUGAUCUGCAGCUAGGCUGGUGUCCCCCUUCCCCCUCACCACCGCAUGUAUGUCCCUCCUUGAGGUGAAUGCUCAGUCGAAGAGCAAAACUUUACCUGAUACAGGAGGACCACUCUUCAAUCUAAGGUAUGUGAGUAGCAGUACUCUCUUGCUAGAACCUCUAAACAAAUUCUCAAGAAAAGUACUUUUAAAAACCUUUCAUUUAUUUAUUUUGGAUGGGGAACUUGCCCUACAUCAGCUCAU